This 468-nucleotide ribosomal RNA is filed under the name uncultured bacterium. RNAcentral's name for it is "partial 16S ribosomal RNA". The stretch from base 12 to 374 matches the Rfam family "Bacterial small subunit ribosomal RNA", at positions 39 to 400 of the family's 1533-position model. The record is from RNAcentral.
GACGAACGCUGGCGGCGUGCUUAACACAUGCAAGUCGAACGGAAAGGCCCUGCUUUUGUGGGGUGCUCGAGUGGCGAACGGGUGAGUAACACGUGAGUAACCUGCCCUUGACUUUGGGAUAACUUCAGGAAACUGGGGCUAAUACCGGAUAGGAGCUCCUGCUGCAUGGUGGGGGUUGGAAAGUUUCGGCGGUUGGGGAUGGACUCGCGGCUUAUCAGCUUGUUGGUGGGGUAGUGGCUUACCAAGGCUUUGACGGGUAGCCGGCCUGAGAGGGUGACCGGCAAGAUGGGGAAAGAAGUGCGGGCGGGACUCGUGCGGGAGGGAGCAGUGGGGGAUAGUGGAGCAUGGGCGGCAGGCUGAAGCCGGAACGCCGCGUGGGGGAGGAGGGAGGGCGGGUGGUAGGCCGCGAAGCCCGGUGAAGAAGCGUGAGCGAGGCGGAUGGGUAAAGAAGAAAACGCGUAACAGAUG